Molecule: long non-coding RNA, 1126 nt
Filed under: Rattus norvegicus (Norway rat)
Lineage: Eukaryota; Metazoa; Chordata; Mammalia; Rodentia; Muridae
Description: long non-coding RNA NONRATT022255
Source: RNAcentral
AAAAGCUAUAAGCAUAAUUUGCUGAAAGCUUAAUGAAUACAGUAGCAAGUAGAUAACCGUUCAUCUUGACUAUAACCAUAAUUAAAGCAUGUGACAUAAAUGAGGACAGUUACCCUGGAUACUGACAAAGUCUCUGAGAACCACUUGUCUCCUCCUCAGUCUUCCUGGAAUUACCCCAUGACCCCAUCAAGGGCCAGGAUUGUCAUUGGACCUUCUGCUGUGUUCUUUCAACCACAGACUCACUCUGUGCAGAGACCUCAAGAGAAACCAAUGCCCAAAGAAAGACAAAUAAUUUCCUCAAGUGAAAGGAAGGCAAAACAAUUUGUUAAAACUUUGGUGAUUGUACUGGUUGGUUUUGUGUGUCAAUUGGAGAUAAGCAAGAGUUGUUACAGAAAAAGGAGCCUCCGUUGAGGAAAUGCCUCCUUGAGAUCCAGCUAUAGGCAUUCUCCCAAUUAGUGAUCAAUGGAGGAAGACCCAGCCCAUUGUGGGUGUUGUCAAUCCCUGAACUGGUGGUCCUAGGUUCUAUAAAAGGUAGGCUGAGGAAGCCAGGGAAAGCAAACCAGUAAGCAGCACUCCUCCAUGGCCUAUGCAUCAGCUCCUGCCUCCAGGUUCCUGCCCUGCUUGAGUUCCUGUCCUGACUUCCUUUGGUGAUGAACAUCAAUGUGGAAGUGUAAGCCGAAUAAACCUUUUCUUCCCCAACUUGCGUUUUGGUCAUGGUGUUUUAUCACAGUAAUAGAAACCCUGACUAAGACAGUGACCCACAGACAUUAGAGGGAAUGUAAAUUCUGGGCCUCCUACUUCAUGGCAUAAAAUGCUGAGAUUGGAGUGCCCAUCAUGAGAACCAUAUAGAACAGGACUUACUUAAACAUGAAAUAAUACACAAUUAAAUGCUGCUUCGGAUGACAGGGAAAUCAAAGGCACUUAUGACAAAGAAUAAUAAGGAAGAGAAGAUGAAAAGAAAGGGAAGAUUUCUAUUUCUAUUCAUGUCCGUACAUAAAUCUAAAAACACUUGCUGGACACCAUGACUCCUACCUUUAAUUCCCACACUCAGAGGUAGGUGGAUUUCUACGAGCUUGAGGCUAGCCUGGUCUACAUAGUGAAUUUCUGAUCUCCACAGUGAGAUCUU